Molecule: long non-coding RNA, 1781 nt
Filed under: Heterocephalus glaber (naked mole-rat)
Lineage: Eukaryota; Metazoa; Chordata; Mammalia; Rodentia; Bathyergidae
Description: lncRNA (ENSHGLG00000037230.1)
Source: RNAcentral
CUUUUGAACACAAGCAAGCACUUCACUCCAUUUAUCCUCGGACAAGCCCUCCUUGAACUCAGCCAAAUUAUAAAAUCCUUUUGCUGUAUUUUGCUGUAUUUUGCUGAGAGGAUUCGAGGUCCCUGUUGGGGUGCCACUUGUGGGUGGUCUCUCUAAAGGGAGACCUGAGACCCUGGAGAGAACCAACCUUUAUAGAAAGAAAAGGAGACAGCCUGGGGGACAAGCAGAAGUUUACUCCUCUGACACUAUUUGACAAUCACAAAGGAAAGAAGUAAGGCUUUUAUACAGGCCAACUUGAGCACCAGAGGGAUGUCACAGAGGAAGUGGUUGAUGAUAUUAGAUCCACAGAAGGGCAGAAUGAAAAUCUGCACUGUCUGCUCCAUCUGGACUGGGAAGCUGAAGAUACAGGAGCCAGUGACCAGCUGGAUACAGACCUUGUGGUUCAUGAUCAGCGGAUACUGCAGAGGGUUACUAAUGGCCACGUAGCAAUCAUAGGCCAUUACCAAGAGGAGGAAGCACUCACAGCCCCCAGCACAAGGAAGAAGCCCAUCUGUGUGGCACAGGUUACUUCGUUAUAAAGAAAUGGCAGAGAAAGCAGUAUGUGAAGAUGACCUGUCUUGGGGAACCUUCUCCUGCAUUUCUCCUUUCAGCUGCUGGUGCAGCAACAGCCACAGCAAUCAAAAGAAAUGUUGCUGUUUCCUGCCCACAAUGAUCCAUGAUGACCUGUAAUGAUGCACCUUCCAUCUGAAUGCAGAACUCCUCUCAGAGACAUUUUAGAACUUAGAGCUGCAGAGGAUUGCUAUUCUUCAGGUGUGUUCAUUGUGUAUAAAUGCACUGCCUUCCUGGUUGUAUUCCUCCUAAAUCAGCUGAAAACCUUUCUUCACAUUUUUUUGCCUCAACAUUGAGCACUUGUGAUUGCACAUGUCUGGCCACAGUAGAUUACUAAAGCUGUGGAUGUUACAGCAGACUUGUAUCAAACAGAAUCAUUUCCUGAAACAUUUGGACUGUGACUAAAGAAAGUAUCCCUCCAUAGGGGAUGUAGUUGUAGGUUUUUAAACAUGUAAACUUUGGGCCAUAUUUAGGUCUAUAUCAUGGACAAAACAAUAUAACCUGGACCGAGGACAUAGGGAAAAUUACCCAGAUAGAUGUUCUUAGCCAGCAUGAUGUAGGAGGCAAUGCUCUGUCUCAAAUGAAGAUGAGCCUUUCCUUCCAAUUGUUCUGUUGAUCUUUGCACUGAGCCCAGUACAUGUAGCCUUGAUGGGUUCAUGACACAGUCAUUAUUUAGGCUGUGCCCUGCUCCAAAUGGGAAUGGGUUUGACUUGCAUUCUGGAUGCUUCAGAAAGCCAUCUGUGACACCAUCACCGUGUGCUCAUCCUCAAGAAGACAGGCACACAGGUAGAUGCAGUAUGUGUGAAAUUGUGUAUACACUAACAAUUGUGUACAAGUGCAGCAGAGAUGGGAGGACCCUCGGCAUGGCCCUCAGUUGUACACACUGGGUGGCACUGAAAUCACUACCAAAAUUUCCUAUGCCUGGUGGUAUUUUUCUACACACUAGUGAAAACAGAUAGUGAGCAAUAGAAGAAGCAGUUUGUCACACUGUAUGUAAUGAUAAUCACAAAUGAGAUGUCCUAGGGAGAGUAUGUGAAUAGGGGAAAUCUCACUGAAAAAAUGGCUUCCAAAGUGGAGUGGGAAGAAGAGUUGGAUCAGAUGGGUGGGAGUCCAUUUGGAGAGCAGUGUGGACAGAGGGGGAUGGGAGGGUGAGGAGCAGAUCAAAGGCUGAG